Molecule: transfer RNA, 63 nt
Filed under: Enchytraeus irregularis
Lineage: Eukaryota; Metazoa; Annelida; Clitellata; Enchytraeida; Enchytraeidae
Description: tRNA-Trp
Source: RNAcentral
AAAACAUUAAGUUAAAAAAACUAAUCGCCUUCAAAGCGAUAAAUAGAAUUAUUCUAUGUUUUG